CCCAUUGAAUUCAUUAUCAACAACAGCAGCUACCAACACAAAAUACUCAAGGUAAUUUGAUAUCCCAAAUAUUCAAUUCAGUUUGCAUCCAUAUCUAGCAUAUCACAGUUCAUCUACAUCAAAUAGCCUAGAUAUUUCGUACAAUAGAAAGUAUAAACUUCACAAACAGGCUGCACUCUAGAACAACAAACUAUGAGAGUUUUUCCCAGACCAUUACCAACUGAACAUGAACCGAGAUAAUUGAGUAAGAAAAAGACUUAGCUUUGAGAGAAAGGGCUGACAGCCCGACGGGGACGACGACGAUGGUCGGGACAGGGCUGAACUCACACGGCCUCAUCAAGACCCAAGAACAGCGGUUGCGGAGUUACCAAACUGGAAUAGAACGAAGCCAAUCGGCACUGAACCCCGAUCAGCAGCUGCUCGGCGGCGGCGAUUCUUACUUUUCUGGAACGGCGACCAGCCGUCAGUUUCCGACGGAGACGCGGAACAGCGGCGGCCUGGAAAUCGAAAGAUAGGGCUCGAUCUGGGUCCUGCGGUCGGAUUUGAGAUGAAGGUCGGAGUUUGAAACCUCAGGGGAGGAGAAAGAGAGGAGGCCGACGGGCUCCAGGCCGGAGCAACGCCGCUCCCAGACGGCGACCGAUCGCCCAAUUUCGAAAGGGCAGCAGCAGCAGCAGCGCUGAUUCCUUGAGAAUCAGGGCUCGAUGUUAGGGGAGGAAAGAGGACGGCGCCGGGGCUGAGGCGCGUCGACAGAUGACGCCGGCUGAAGUCGCGGCGGCGGACGCCUCGUGUGAAGGCGAGUCGAGAGUGAGAGGGAGAAGAGGCGUGCGGCUGGUUUGAGAGAGAAGGAGAGUGUCGGCUGGUUUGAGAGUUGAGAGAGAGAUAACCGAGCGAGGGGGAGGAGAAGUAAAGGUUUGGGCCUUUUGUUAAGUUGGGCUAUGUCUUGGGCUUCAACUUUAAUUCGAAUUGGGCCUCUAUUUCUUUAUUUUGGGCCGAGUCUUGGGCCGAUUUUUAAUAAGUGAUGGGCCGAUUUUUAAAUGGUUUUGGGCUUCCAUAUAAUAAUUUCGAACUGGGUCGAAUUAUUUAAGAAAAAGUUUGGGCUUCACUUAUAAAUUCGAAAUGGGCCAGUCUUUAAUUUAAUUGGUCCUUCUCAUUAUUUUUAUUGGGCUUGAAUUAAUUUAAGGAGUUGGGCUGAUGCAUAUAUUUAUGAUGGGUUAUUAUUCUAAUCCCAUUUAUAUUUUAUUGGGCCAGUUUAAUUCAUCACUUGGGCCGAGUUUUAUUUAAUUUUAAGCUCAGAAUAAUUCAUUCUAUUCUUGGGCUAAUUUUAAAUUAUGGACUGAAAUUUUAUUUAGUUGGGCCUUACAUGAUUUAUUUAUUUGAGCCCAACAGACCUUAUUUUAAUAUCGGCCUUAUUAUUUUAUUUCUUUGGGCCGAGGCUUAUUUAAUUGCAGCUGGGCCUUGCGUACUUAUUUAACUUAGCCCAGCUAUUCAUUAUUUAUUCAUUGGGCCAAGAUUUAUUUAAUUACUUAAGCCAAUGAAUUAUUUCGAUUGGGCUUUCGUACUAUUUAUUCAGGCCCACUUCUACUUAAUUAAUUAUCAGGCUGCCUUGUUGAGCCUCUUAAUUAUUGAGCUUAUAUUAUUGUUUCCUUAAGGCCAAAUUAUUAUUUUGAGCUGCCAUUAUUUAUUUGAGUUAAGCUACUCGUUUUAUUUAAUUAAUUGGCUACUCUCUUUUGAGCCUAUUAAUUAUUUGAGAUUAUAUUAGUAAUUAUGUUUCUAUCGAAAAGCCCGAUAGUUUCUACAAGGUCACACCUCGUUUAAAGCCGAGUUAGUCAUUUUUCAAUCAAGUACAAAUGCGAGAUUUAUUUUACAAUUAGAAUAUUCCGAUGGGAAAGGAAGAAUCACAGCUUUAUUCGACCGCGUUAGAUGAGAAUUAGUUAAAUCUAUUAACGAGGAUUAAUAGUAGAAUUUCCGAUUAUCGCUCAGAAUAUUAGUUCAUGCAUACCAGAUUCAUGCAUAGUUAAAUUACGCUUUCUCAUUAAUUAAGAAUUUUCCUCGAGGCAAUGUCUUAUUUUAUAUUCUCGUGAUUAAGGUCAAGCGCGAGAGUAAGAACUACACAAGGAGUUAGAGUACCUUAGCAAAACUUUGCUAUCAGGUUGAGCUGUGAUGGGCGAUGAAGUGUUGUUGCUGAGUGGAGUUUUUGUCGAACUUAAAGUAGGCUCAGAAAGGAUACAUGUCUUCAUACAUGUAUCACAGUUAUGCUUUCCGCUGUAAACACUGAUUAUUUCAGUUACGCCUUCCGUUGCAAACUCUGAUAAUGUUUUAGCCAAGCCCCUAAUGAUGCCUUUUUCCUUUUUAAGGAAUAUAACGCGUAUACAAGUUCUUUGA
Salvia miltiorrhiza (redroot sage) is the source of this 2382-nucleotide long non-coding RNA. RefSeq lists it as uncharacterized. Lineage: Eukaryota; Viridiplantae; Streptophyta; Magnoliopsida; Lamiales; Lamiaceae. The record is from RefSeq and is a predicted model, not a curated record. The transcript is spliced from 2 exons.